AAGCAGUUGAAGCCCAGGAAGACAUGCACUCUUCUCUGAAAGGUUCAAGGCCUUCUCCUUCCCAUGGUUCAGACUCCAAAGUCAUGUGUAGGGGAUGGCUGCUCGCUCCAAACGCUUGUACCCGAAAUUGUUGAUUUCUAAAGUUGUUAUCUUGAUUGAAUGAGGAAGACCAUUUGAGAUUCUCUGUUCUUUCCAGCCUUGAUGUCUGCCCCUCUUCUGUAACUUCUGACUGUUUAUAUUUUAUUCCUUCUUGAAGUUGUGAGCUCCCACUUGCACAAUGGUAAAAUUCCUCAACUGAGGCACUGUUCUCUAUCUGGUCAAGGGUUGAACCAUGAAUGCUGAGGAAUUUGCAGCUCAUAGUAGGAUCUUCUGUUUCUGAGUAGGAGCCUGAGUAGGUUCUAAUUCCUCCAUUUGCUUGAAUAACUGAGGAAUCAAAAGAACCUUGCGAUGAUAGCACUUCUUCCUCCAAGCUUUGACUAUAUGUUCCCAUAAAGCUUGUUCUCUCUAUACCUGAAUACUCACUGUUCCUCUGGUAAUCUGUUGACCUGUUGGGAGUCAUGGAGCUUUGGCUGUCAAGUUGAUGCCUGAAUGGCUUUUCAUGCCAUUUGAUGGUUUCUUCUGAAUUCAGUUCACACACUUCUGGUUCUUCAAUUAGUAUUGUUGUUCUCUCCGCAUUGCAGUCUCCUUUGCAUGAUGACUUCAAAGGAAACUUUGCUGCUAGAGACAUGAAGGCAGAGCUGCAUGGUGGUCGGAAACAUUUUGGGUUAGGAAGACUCCUAUUACAGAAUCCACCACAGAUCCCUUCCAUUUUGAGAAGCGCCUAUCUCCUGCAAGGUUUUAUGACACUGGUCAGCAUACAUGCUACAAUCUACAAGACCCAAGUGAAGUGUUUAUGCUGAAUAUUAAGGCAAACCAGUGUUUCUUAUACCCCAAUGCACAAAAAACACACUCCUAAUGGUUUUUAUCAUGUAUCAAAAGGUCCAGGACGACAUUAAUCUGGGGAGCAGAAGCAGAACUCUUUGUACUACAGAAUAUUGGGACCAAACAUGUAAAAGGCUGUACCUUGUACAAGAUGCAUUCUUGCUAUAAAUGAAUCAACUCUGCCAUGAAAAACUCUCCUUUCUUCUUCCCACCAUUUUUCCUUAUCUGUUCCUUCAGUGUCUUCUCCCUCCUUUCCCAUCAACAAAUUCCAUACCCUAUUUGUCUCUGGAUCAAGGUCCACUCUAGGUCGUACUUUUUUCUUGAUAGACUCAAACCCCUCAAAAGGGACAACUGUUCCAGCUCCAUUGUAUAGAACAAGUGCAUUCUGCAGUUCUGCCUUGGGUUUGUUGUUCUUUUCUUCAAGAGUGAGACCCUUGAAUCUAUUAAUUAUCUCCUCGACUGGAUUGAGAGAUACAUGUUUUGCUGAUGGCCCUGCAUAUUUUACCAAGAACAGUUGAUGAAGUGGUGGUCAGUAGAACAUUUUGGGAAAAAUUUCUAGACAAGAGUUUCAAGGUACUACAGUUGAUGAAAGAUAAAAGUUUGUUAGUACCUCUUGCUUUGGUGGACUGCUGGUUCUCAGACACUUGUUUCUUUUCUUGCACCAUCUUUCCAACUGUGAAUGGAACAUUUCUGGGCAGACCAGGUUCUCUUUUCUUGUUUUCUGAAACAUUGGUAUGGAAUGUUUGGCCAACCAAUCCAGUUCGAGGUGUAGGGACCUUCUCAGGGGUAGUUGGUAGAAGAAGAUUGCGGUUCUCAAUUGUGGCUAAGUUAUGGACUAGAGCUAACCCAUUUAUGUUUCCUACUUUUUCGAUGCCUGAAUGCAGUUGGGACAAAAUAUUUUGCUUUGAAGAAGUCAGAUCACCAGCUGUAGAGUUUACAUACCUGUUCCCUGUGAGUUGGCUAAACACGCUACCUUUUCUCCUGUCUAUGCUAUCACUUCGAAAAUGGGGAUCAGAUGUUCCACAAUCUCUCAGUGAUGUAAAUUUUCCUGCAUUAACAUCAUUUGUGCCUUCUGUUUGAAGUAGUCCUGCAGCAUGCGACACUGAACACUUCAUUCCGUACUUAUAUGCAUGGAAUUCAUCCUCAAUUAUCCUUCUUUUCGAAGCCUGGGGAAAGGCUGCCUCAUUACUGCAGCCAUUUCUAUAACCUUCAUCCGCUUGGAAUAUCGCUUGGGAUAGCAAGGAACUCACAGUACCUGCUGUGCUGAAUUGUCCCUGCUCAAUGGCAUGAUAGUGAUCUCUCUUGGAUCCCCUACCUUCAUUAAAGUUGGACAAAACUGUUGCUACUGACUGAGGGUGUCCUUCAAACAUGAAUUCCUUGGUCCCAUCAAUAUUUUCCCAGUUUCUUCUUUGUGAAACAAAUUGGAUAGCUUGCUGUGCGGAAGUGUACCCAUUUCUGUAGCUAUUUUGGUUCAAAUCAAUGUCAUACAUGUUUGCAUUCCUUGCCAUGACAUUUACAUUUUCCAUCAGCUCCUUUGCUUGAAGUCGGGAGGCUGUAGCUGCUGUGAUACCUGGCAGGGACAUGUAAUCAAUUGGCAUCAUUUUCUUCAUGAAGGGGGAGUGACUACAUUCAGCUUGUAGUUGUGGGUUUUCCACAGCCAAUCCACUCUGUUGAUUAGACUGUGUAGUGAAUCUUGUUUUAAACCCACUAUUCCCUACACUGGAAAAUCCCAUGGAGCGAGAUUCAGAGGACUUACUACUGAGCAUCUCUUGGUGAUUAAGUAUACCAGCCAGACUUCCAUUUCCAGUGUUUUCCAAGUCAAAAUUCAAUGCUCUUCUGCAGGAUCUUGGAGCACACACGGGACUAGGAUCAGAGUCCCUUAUGCAAUCUCCUUGCGGACUUGCUGAUUCUUUCUGGUUGGUCUCGUGCAUGCAUUUCCCCCUAAUAGUUAUCCCAGCAUCACAAGCAGAUUUGUUUGCAGAAUCUAUCAGUUCAUCAGCUGGUUCUUUUGGCCUUUUCUUGCGUACAUACUUCCUCUUCGCUGGAGUUCCAGCAGUUGAGUCAGACGCCUUUGUUGGAUCUGCAUGUUGAGUUGCUAGUUCUGUCAGACCUUUCCUGCGUACAUACUUCCUCUUCCCACUUGGGUUGUCCUUGGAGUUGACGUUUGCUGUAGUGGUCGGCUUUGGAGUUCUUUUGGGUUUGCCUUCCACAAUAACCUUGGGCCUGUGUUUUCUUCGUUUAGGUGGUUUUUGCUGGGGAGUCUUAUUCAGAUCUAUACCUUGGACACUUCCCCUUUCAGAGUCCUUUUCCUCCAUUGGUGCUGAAAUGAUCACAGAUGAUGAAUCGACAAUAUUCUGAUUCUGCUUCCUUGUCUUCUCUGUUUGAUCUGGUGUUGCUAGCAAGGAUUGAAAUGAGGUGUUGAAAUGAGAGGGUGCACCGACUUCUGUCCUCGCUGGUUUAACCACUUACAUUGCGGCAUCUGGAGGAAGCCGUCGGUAUUUCUCAUGAAGUGCGAACUUGAGGAUUGGUGUGAGCUGGAACGUCUCCAGUUUUCUUCUUGAGGAUGCAAAUUCGGAAUUGGCAGUGUAUUACCGCUGCCUAAGCUGGCGAUUCUGUUUGCAGAGGCAAAACCAUCUGCGGCAUUUCUGGUUGCCAGAAGAUUUGCCCAGGUUAUUCACUCGAUACUUUGAGUUAUCCAUGGUUAUUGUGGAUUGGGGGUACAAAUUUACAUUUCCGAUACUUAUUCAAGCAGCGGAAAAAAAUUAUCGGUGAUCAUACAGUUGUGUUUACCAUUGAGGCUUAAACCUUGAUUUCAAACAAAAAAAAGUGGUAAACAAGCAGUUUUUCAAACCAAACUUUGAUUUUAAACUAGGGUUUUAACCCAAGCCAAAAGUUAAAAAUUUUGGCUUUUGAAACUUUUGGAGAAGCAUUUUUCAAUGAAGUUAUUUUUUUAUCUCUCUAUUAAAUUUUACUUUACGACAUCAUGUCUAAAGUUGAUAUUUUAUUUUCUCAAAAGUACUUUUUGACAGCAAUGGUUAAAACUAUCAAAUUUUUCAAAAAUAUUUUUGAACCUCAGUGAUAAACUAAUUUCACAAAGAGAAUGGGUGUGCGGUUCCAAUGUCUUUGAAAGAAAGCAUCAAGAGGUAACAGUUGGAAUGUGGUGGAGGAAUUGAGAGCUGAAAAUUCAAGUUACUUGACUGGGGACAAAGAACCAAGGAUUAAAAAUAUAGCUGAAAAACAGUUAAACAAGAUGGUUUCUUUGGAUUAAAGUGCGUUUACUUUCAGUAAAGUUAAAAAUAACAGUGAAAGUAAAAUUAAUUAUUAUAACUAUAAAAUAAAAGAUUUUAUCGCAUCAUGGUCAUAGUCUACUGUUGUAGAAUCUGUCUUGGAACUUAUUUGACUUUGUCUUUUGAACUUGUGUAUGGUUGUGGUUUUGAUACAAAAAGCAAAAUAGUUUUUUUUUUUUCCU
Gossypium arboreum is the source of this 4390-nucleotide long non-coding RNA. RefSeq lists it as uncharacterized. Lineage: Eukaryota; Viridiplantae; Streptophyta; Magnoliopsida; Malvales; Malvaceae. The record is from RefSeq and is a predicted model, not a curated record. The transcript is spliced from 7 exons.